GGGAUAAGCCUGGGAAACCGGGUCUAAUACCGGAUACGACGGACCACCGCAUGGCGGUCCGUGGAAAGCUUGAUGCGGUUUUGGAUGGACUCGCGGCCUAUCAGCUAGUUGGUUGGGGUAAUGGCCCACCAAGGCGACGACGGGUAGCCGGCCUGAGAGGGUGACCGGCCACACUGGGACUGAGACACGGCCCAGACUCCUACGGGAGGCAGCAGUGGGGAAUAUUGCACAAUGGGCGAAAGCCUGAUGCAGCGACGCCGCGUGAGGGACGAAGGCCUUCGGGUUGUAAACCUCUUUCAGCAGGGAAGAAGCGAAAGUGACGGUACCUGCAGAAGAAGCGCCGGCUAACUACGUGCCAGCAGCCGCGGUAAUACGUAGGGCGCAAGCGUUAUCCGGAAUUAUUGGGCGUAAAGAGCUCGUAGGCGGUUUGUCGCGUCUGCUGUGAAAGCCCGGGGCUCAACCCCGGGUCUGCAGUGGGUACGGGCAGACUAGAGUGCAGU
Molecule: ribosomal RNA, 500 nt
Filed under: Arthrobacter sp. NA-JUNE-E-5
Lineage: Bacteria; Bacillati; Actinomycetota; Actinomycetes; Micrococcales; Micrococcaceae
Description: bacterial SSU rRNA
Rfam family: Bacterial small subunit ribosomal RNA
Source: RNAcentral